GAUGAACGCUGGCGGCGUGCCUAAUACAUGCAAGUCGAGCGAACGGACGAGAAGCUUGCUUCUCUGAUGUUAGCGGCGGACGGGUGAGUAACACGUGGAUAACCUACCUAUAAGACUGGGAUAACUUCGGGAAACCGGAGCUAAUACCGGAUAAUAUUUUGAACCGCAUGGUUCAAAAGUGAAAGACGGUCUUGCUGUCACUUAUAGAUGGAUCCGCGCUGCAUUAGCUAGUUGGUAAGGUAACGGCUUACCAAGGCAACGAUGCAUAGCCGACCUGAGAGGGUGAUCGGCCACACUGGAACUGAGACACGGUACAGACUCCUACGGGAGGCAGCAGUAGGGAAUCUUCCGCAAUGGGCGAAAGCCUGACGGAGCAACGCCGCGUGAGUGAUGAAGGUCUUCGGAUCGUAAAACUCUGUUAUAGGGAAGAACAUAUGUGUAAGUAACUGUGCACAUCUUGACGGUACCUAAUCAGAAAGCCACGGCUAACUACGU
RNAcentral lists this ribosomal RNA (495 nucleotides) under uncultured bacterium. RNAcentral's name for it is "partial 16S ribosomal RNA". It matches the Rfam family "Bacterial small subunit ribosomal RNA", at positions 28 to 506 of the family's 1533-position model. The record is from RNAcentral.